RNAcentral lists this ribosomal RNA (2410 nucleotides) under Listeria monocytogenes. RNAcentral describes it as "partial 23S ribosomal RNA". It matches the Rfam family "Bacterial large subunit ribosomal RNA", at positions 1 to 2409 of the family's 2925-position model. Lineage: Bacteria; Bacillati; Bacillota; Bacilli; Caryophanales; Listeriaceae. The record is from RNAcentral.
AGAUUAAGUUAUUAAGGGCGCACGGUGGAUGCCUUGGCACUAGAAGCCGAUGAAGGACGUUACUAACGACGAUAUGCUUUGGGGAGCUGUAAGUAAGCGUUGAUCCAGAGAUUUCCGAAUGGGGAAACCCAGCAUGAGUUAUGUCAUGUUAUCGAUAUGUGAAUACAUAGCAUAUCAGAAGGCAGACCCGGAGAACUGAAACAUCUUAGUACCCGGAGGAAGAGAAAGAAAAAUCGAUUCCCUGAGUAGCGGCGAGCGAAACGGGAAGAGCCCAAACCAACAAGCUUGCUUGUUGGGGUUGUAGGACACUCUAUACGGAGUUACAAAAGUAUAUAUUAGACGAAUCAUCUGGAAAGUUGAAUCAAAGAAGGUAAUAAUCCUGUAGUCGAAAAUAUAUACUCUCUUGAGUGGAUCCUGAGUACGACGGAGCACGUGAAAUUCCGUCGGAAUCUGGGAGGACCAUCUCCUAAGGCUAAAUACUCUCUAGUGACCGAUAGUGAACCAGUACCGUGAGGGAAAGGUGAAAAGUACCCCGGAAGGGGAGUGAAAGAGAACUUGAAACCGUGUGCUUACAAGUAGUCAGAGCCCGUUAAUGGGUGAUGGCGUGCCUUUUGUAGAAUGAACCGGCGAGUUACGAUUUGAUGCAAGGUUAAGCAGCUAAUGUGGAGCCGUAGCGAAAGCGAGUCUGAAUAGGGCGUUUAGUAUUUGGUCGUAGACCCGAAACCAGGUGAUCUACCCUUGGUCAGGUUGAAGUUCAGGUAACACUGAAUGGAGGACCGAACCGACUUACGUUGAAAAGUGAGCGGAUGAACUGAGGGUAGCGGAGAAAUUCCAAUCGAACUUGGAGAUAGCUGGUUCUCUCCGAAAUAGCUUUAGGGCUAGCCUCAAGUGAUGAUUAUUGGAGGUAGAGCACUGUUUGGACGAGGGGCCCUUCUCGGGUUACCGAAUUCAGACAAACUCCGAAUGCCAAUUAAUUUAACUUGGGAGUCAGAACAUGGGUGAUAAGGUCCGUGUUCGAAAGGGAAACAGCCCAGACCACCAGCUAAGGUCCCAAAAUAUAUGUUAAGUGGAAAAGGAUGUGGCGUUGCCCAGACAACUAGGAUGUUGGCUUAGAAGCAGCCAUCAUUUAAAGAGUGCGUAAUAGCUCACUAGUCGAGUGACACUGCGCCGAAAAUGUACCGGGGCUAAACAUAUUACCGAAGCUGUGGAUUGUCCGUAGGACAAUGGUAGGAGAGCGUUCUAAGGGCGUCGAAGCAUGAUCGCAAGGACAUGUGGAGCGCUUAGAAGUGAGAAUGCCGGUGUGAGUAGCGAAAGACGGGUGAGAAUCCCGUCCACCGAUUGACUAAGGUUUCCAGAGGAAGGCUCGUCCGCUCUGGGUUAGUCGGGUCCUAAGCUGAGGCCGACAGGCGUAGGCGAUGGAUAACAGGUUGAUAUUCCUGUACCACCUAGUAUCGUUUUAAUCGAUGGGGGGACGCAGUAGGAUAGGCGAAGCGUGCUAUUGGAUUGCACGUCCAAGCAGUAAGACUGAGUGUUAGGCAAAUCCGGCACUCAUAAGGUCAAGCUGUGAUGGGGAGAGGAAAUUGUUUCCUCGAGUCGUUGAUUUCACACUGCCAAGAAAAGCCUCUAGAUAGAUAACAGGUGCCCGUACCGCAAACCGACACAGGUAGUCAAGAUGAGAAUUCUAAGGUGAGCGAGCGAACUCUCGUUAAGGAACUCGGCAAAAUGACCCCGUAACUUCGGGAGAAGGGGUGCUCUUUAGGGUUAACGCCCAGAAGAGCCGCAGUGAAUAGGCCCAAGCGACUGUUUAUCAAAAACACAGGUCUCUGCUAAACCGUAAGGUGAUGUAUAGGGGCUGACGCCUGCCCGGUGCUGGAAGGUUAAGAGGAGUAGUUAGCUUCUGCGAAGCUACGAAUCGAAGCCCCAGUAAACGGCGGCCGUAACUAUAACGGUCCUAAGGUAGCGAAAUUCCUUGUCGGGUAAGUUCCGACCCGCACGAAAGGCGUAACGAUUUGGGCACUGUCUCAACGAGAGACUCGGUGAAAUCAUAGUACCUGUGAAGAUGCAGGUUACCCGCGACAGGACGGAAAGACCCCGUGGAGCUUUACUGUAGCCUGAUAUUGAAAUUCGGCACAGCUUGUACAGGAUAGGUAGGAGCCUUUGAAACGUGAGCGCUAGCUUACGUGGAGGCAUUGGUGGGAUACUACCCUAGCUGUGUUGGCUUUCUAACCCGCACCACUUAUCGUGGUGGGAGACAGUGUCAGGUGGGCAGUUUGACUGGGGCGGUCGCCUCCUAAAAGGUAACGGAGGCGCUCAAAGGUUCCCUCAGAAUGGUUGGAAAUCAUUCAUAGAGUGUAAAGGCAUAAGGGAGCUUGACUGCGAGACUUACAAGUCGAGCAGGGUCGAAAGACGG